GUUGUGGGAUAUUCUGAUGCAGAUUGGGCUGGUUGUCCUUUUGACAGACGAUCUACCUCAGGUUACUGUGUACUCAUUGGUGGUAAUCUUAUAUCUUGGAAGAGUAAGAAACAAGAUGUUGUUGCUAGAUCCAGUGCUGAAGCUGAAUACCAUGCUAUGGCUCUUGUCACGUGUGAGUUGAUAUGGCUGAAGCAUUUACUUCAAGAGUUACAGUGUGGCCAAGUAGCUCAAAUGACAUUAAUAUGUGACAACCAAGCAGCUCUUCAUAUUGCCUCAAAUCCAGUCUUUCAUGAGAGGACCAAACAUAUUGAAGUUGACUGCCACUUUAUCAGGGAGAAAAUUGUGUCUGGGAGUAUCAAGACUAGCUUUGUCAACUCUGUAGAUCAGUUGGCUGAUAUCCUAACAAAGUCUCUUAGGGCUCCUAGAGUUGGGCAUAUUUGUAACAAGCUUGGAGCAUAUGAUCUAUACUCUCCAGCUUGAGGGGGAGUGUUAAACCCUAAAGCCCGUUUAUAGAUAAGCCCAUUAGGGUUUUCUCUAUUUUGUAUAAGUAGUGGUAGUCUGUACAGUUCUACAUAUUGAGAUAUAUACAAAUAUACAUUAUUCUCUCAAGUUGUACAGAUCCAAUGACUAAAAAUCUACCUCUGUAACUUUCCCUAAAUCUCUACACAAACUAAGGAUUCUAUAAUGUUCUAUGCUUCUCUACUACCCCUAGAGUUAUGUAUAUGAUUUUAGAACAUUCUUAACAACUAUGGGAAGCUAUGUACAACUCCUAGAAAAGUCGGAAAGAUGUAGCAAACUUCGGUAAAGUGUCGCAAAGUGCCCCACGCGUUACACCUAGUACCCCUAGGGUAUGUGGUUGAGGUAAGAGAUCAUUAAAAAGUUUGUGCGUGCUAUGUAACAUUACAGAUUCAUUUAAAACGAAUGUGUUACUCUAUAUUUUGUGGUAUAGCUUUCUAGAGUUUCCUAAUGUCAGUUUUCUUUUAUAUCUGUUUAACUUAAACGUGGAUAACUUGAUAAAUUGCAUUCAAUGUGUGCAUUUAGUUUGAACUAUCUGUACCUCUUUCUAGUUCACAUUGGAGAGGCAUAAAUAUAUAAUCCUUUUCCAAAGUUAUAAUUCAGCAUACUUUUGUAAUGUUAAAAUAUGCUCUUCCAAACAGCCUGUAGAUCAACUUGAAUCUUUUCCUUUUGUUUUGAGGGGUUUCUCUUUGUGAUGGUGUUCAUUUGGUUAUGUUGCAGUUCUACGAUAUUGCAUACAUAUUCAUCUUUAAUUGGAUUGCUAAUAUGCUGUAGAAUUCUAAUUUCUCAUUUUUACCGGAUGUUAUCAUCAGUAUUGAUGAUUGUGAAUAGUGGUGUAAACAAUACAAGUUUUUUAUGAGCUAAUUUAGCUGCGCUGCAGCUUGGAUUUAAUUAAUCAAUAUUAUUGAGUCGAGCUAAACUUGAGUGCAUCAAUACUCAGCUCGAGUAGGUCUCCCUUAAUUUUUUAAAAUAUAUUUUAUAUAAUAGUAUAAAUAAAUACUGAUAUAUUUAUGUAAUUACAGUUUUUUCAGAUUUCGUUUAUCUAUUUACUGAACUCCCCUAAUGUAUAAAUACACUCUCUGAAUUCAUCCCGUCCCAUAUCUCAGUCAACCUCGGGCUCCAUGCUAGUUCUCAUCCUUGUUCACGUACUAACUCCUUCUUGGAUUUCAACAACAACCAGAUCGAACUCAGUUUUUCUUAUGACUUCUGAGUGACUUAAUUGGAAAAUGUCCCAUGGAUAGAUGUAGGGGUACAUCAAUAGCUGGAUUCUGGCACGCUUGAUUUUUCUGGAGGCAUUUGCUUUGCUUCGGCUGGUUAAAGUAGAGGAGGCUGGAGAAUACACCUUGGAUUUGAAUUGAAGAAAGUUGCAGAUCCAAGUUGUGAAUCUGAUAACUCAAAUUGUUUGGAACUUGACGAAUUGAAGCGGUAUUUGCUGGUGCUGCUGCAAAGGAUUGUCAGCCAAAAAUGCAAGACAUUAAAUGAUCAAAUGAAUGCAGGCCGGAAUUGAAGAGCAUGCAUGAGCUCUCUGGUGCAAAAAUUGUGAGCUAUACUAGAAGGUUGUGUCAUGUGUGCUCACAAAAUGUAGUGUUUGGUUGGUUGAAUUUAAGCCAAGAGUUUGACACAUGUAUAUCGAGGCAAGCUUGACUUUACAGGGUCCAAGCCACAUUAUUUAGUCCUAAUCAGGUACUUCGGCUUGAUUCUCACAAGUGACGAUUCCUUCUGGAUCAGUUCCUGUGCUUCUCGGGACUGAACUGUAGUUUCAGUAUGUAUAUAACUUAACUAUAUACGGAGUAACAUUUUAUAAAAAAAGGGAGUUAACUAUGUCAUUUUGAACCCUGGAGUCCAGGAUAUAAUUGAAUUGCUA
Molecule: long non-coding RNA, 2380 nt
Organism: Ipomoea triloba (trilobed morning glory)
Lineage: Eukaryota; Viridiplantae; Streptophyta; Magnoliopsida; Solanales; Convolvulaceae
Exons: 4
Source: RefSeq, a predicted model, not a curated record